GAUGAACGCUAGCGGCAGGCUUAACACAUGCAAGUCGAGGGGCAGCGCGGUAGCAAUACUGGCGGCGACCGGCAAACGGGUGCGGAACACGUACAGAACCUACCUUGAUCUGGGGCAUAGCCCGGAGAAAUCCGGAUUAACUCCCCAUAAUAUAAUUGGAUGGCAUCAUUUGGUUAUUAAAAUUUAUUGGAUCGAGAUGGCUGUGCGUCCCAUUAGCUAGUUGGUAGGGUAACGGCCUACCAAGGCGACGAUGGGUAGCUGGUGUGAGAG
RNAcentral lists this ribosomal RNA (270 nucleotides) under uncultured bacterium. RNAcentral describes it as "partial 16S ribosomal RNA". It matches the Rfam family "Bacterial small subunit ribosomal RNA", at positions 28 to 298 of the family's 1533-position model. The record is from RNAcentral.